RNAcentral lists this ribosomal RNA (253 nucleotides) under uncultured bacterium. Its description in RNAcentral is "partial 16S ribosomal RNA". It matches the Rfam family "Bacterial small subunit ribosomal RNA", at positions 524 to 776 of the family's 1533-position model. The record is from RNAcentral.
UACAGAGGUCCCAAGCGUUGUUCGGAUUCACUGGGCGUAAAGGGUGCGUAGGUGGUUAGGUAAGUCCGAUGUGAAAUCUCCAGGCUCAACCUGGAAAUGGCAUUGGAUACUAUUUAGCUUGAGGAGUGGAGGGGGGACUGGAAUUCUCGGUGUAGCAGUGAAAUGCGUAGAUAUCGAGAGGAACACCAGUGGCGAAGGCGAGUCCCUGGACACUUCCUGACACUGAGGCGCGAAAGCUAGGGGAGCAAACAGG